AGUUAGGGCCAAGGUGAAACUGCAGUAUCACAAGGAUUUUCUGGUGGAUGAGGAUGGCAAGUGGAUACUGCAGGGCUGGAAGGGGCGAGUUAUCUAUGCACUCUCAUAUUGGAAGCCAGCUCACGAGUAAUGAGGAAUCCUUCCUGUUUAUCACAUAAGCAUGAAUGCUGGUUAAAAUGUUUGGCAAUUGAUAAAUAAAUACCUCCUUAGCAAUCUACAUGUAUUCUAUAAAAUUAUGCAAGGAAUUGGUAUGUCUAAGUUUUACUGUUCAAAUUUAUUCAGUGCCACAGAAAAUUGGUAUUAACCUGUGAAUAAAUCAAGGUGAAAUCCAGGACUAAUAGUCUGUGUGAAUAUCACAUUAGAAAUUCUUAUACUCUUGUGUCAAUAUCACAUCAUGAACAAUGUAUUUUCUCCAUAUAGCCAUUGUUGCAAUAUCCAUCAUCAUAUGAAAGAUGUUUGGAAGAAAGGCAGCCAUCUGAAUUCAACUGGCUUACAGCUAAUGUUUUCAACUUGCACCUGUAAUUACCACGGUGUUUCCUUUACAUUGUGGAGUUUUAAAUUACAAAUUUAUUUUAAUGGGGACUAGAUUAUGGUUUUCCAAUUUUAGUCUGAUAAAGUUUAUUAAGUCCAUGCAGGUUUAGGGCUGGAUGGCAGUAUCGCUGUGUGCCAUUUCAGGAUGAAGCCUUGUUAAUUGCGUCCAUUUUUUUUUUCAAUAAGCUGACCUUUCCUCUUGCAAUUUUGUUGAAGCUGUGAAUGAUUACUUCCUGCUGUUUGCCUCCAGCCUGUAGAUGUUUUCUUGAAGUUCAGACUAGCACACCAGAACGCCUAAGCAUUGAGAGCAAGUACUUUGCUGCUGCUCAAAUAAACAUUUCUUGCUAAUGUUUUUUAAGAACCGGAACAAAUAUAAGAACUUCUGAAGAUUGAUUUGACUUACUUUUUCUUGCUAGUAUUUCCAUUGCUCUCUCUCUCUCUCUCUUUGCCCCUUACAUUCCUGUUUCACAAACCGUCUUCAAGGUAUUAAGUUAACAGAGAGGAUUCUGUAAUCAGGCUGGGAACUCGCUGCCUUCUCGGGAAAGACACUUGAGUGAUGAUCGGAGGACUUGGAAUGAUAUCAUUUCAUAUGGACAAGGGGCACGGACGGUUGCAGGUGCAACUGUCUCGGACGGUUUUGGCCAUUUUUAACUGCGCGUAACUUUCUUUGCACAUCGCGUAACUUUUUUUGCACAUCGCGUAAUUUUAGAGCAAAUUUUUGUGAAACUCACACAUGGCGUGAAAAUCGAGUUAUAACUUGUAAUCUCAACCGCACAAAUUUUUGAGACCAGAUCAUGGCCAUUAGCCGUUCAGGGACGGUCUUACUGAUGACCGUCCCUGCCCCAUUUCCCAUUUGAUAUAUACUAGCUAGGUAUUUCCUAGUCUUCUAGAUUCAUGAAGUGCUAGUGUUGUUAGUGGUUUUCUGUGGCUUUAGUCAUCUAAACGUAGGGCCAUUCUGUCUAAUCAUGACACUGCCAGGACACUCAGUUCAUAUGAAACAAAAACAGAAACUACUAACAGAUGAGCUUUUGUUGAUGCAUCUGUUAAUAGUUUGCUGCAAACUGAUUUGUCAAUUGAUCAUAAUCGUCGUUUCAUGAAUUGCAGAGAGGCGGAUUGGUGUCUAUGUUGUUCUACAGUGUUCUCAUUAGAAAACAUAAAUACAUGCGCCAAAGUCAAUUUGGAACUGUCGGGCUCAGAUUUGCUGUUGUUUUGUAUGAAUUCAUCCAUUAAAGAACAAAAGGACAAAUUUCACAGCUCAGAAACCUUGACGGCUGGGAUUUCAAGUCAAAGACUCUUCAGUCAGAGGAGCAGAUAUGAGUUUGUUCAUUGAAUUCUCUUCAUACAGAGAUUUUCUUCACUGACGUGAGAAUUGUUCAUUAUUGUAAAUUUGACUUUUUACCUUCAACAUUUUGAGUUUGUCAUUGCUUGCCUCUCUAGUCAGAGCAGCAGACAUGAGUUUGUUCAUUGAAUUCUCUUCAAAUUUUAGAUUUUCUUCUGUGACGUGAGAAUUGUUCAUGUUUGUAAAUCUGACUUUUUAACUUCAAGAUUUUGAGUUUAUCAUUGCUUGCUUUUUUAAUUCAAGAAACUUAAAUCUUAGUACUCUUUUCUUAGAAGGCUAAACGUACUUCAAUCAUCCAGUCCUUGUAUAGGACAAUCCUUAGAACAAGCUUCAACUUUGACAGUAACAAAUUCAGGAAGAUUGAUGCCUUACUGUAACCAAAACAUAAAAUCCAGUAAGCUCAAUUGUCACCUGGAGGAUAUCAGAGACCUUAGCUCAAUGUUUAGGAAAUGCUCAUUUGAUAGUUUACCUGUUGAAGUGAAUAGGCUCAUUGAAAAACUGAGCAAGCUAGCUAUGCGGAUGCUUUAAUGAGGACCUUUAGGUUCCUCUGUGGCUUAGUCCACUUUUGUAAAGCCUAUGCUUGAGCCUUGCUCAUAUAAUGUGUAUGUUCUCAUUAAUUUUAUGAAUAAAAUCGUUAUCGUUUCUGGAAAAAAAAAAAAAAAAUUUGUCACAUGUGCAUCAGUCACCAUAAUACGUACUAAUAUAAUAAAUGUACAUGCCAGCACAACAAAUAUAGACAGUAGAGGAAAUUAUCGGGUAGUCACUAAACUUUUUCAAUAGUCAAGAUUUGGCUACUCAAUUAUUAGUAGCAUGUUUUUACCCAUUAAACUAUCAAAAGUGUAAAUUUUGAGCCAUUUUGUCUGAUUUCACCGUUAACUCUGUUAGAUAUAAGGGUCUACAUAAUUUAUGAGAUAUACUAUUAAUGGUUAAAUUUGGUAGUGUUAACGGUAAAAUCAGAUGGAAUGAUCCAAAAUUUAUACUUUUAAUAGUUUAGUGAGUAAAAACAUACUAUUAAUAGUUGAAUGGCUAAAACUCAACUAGUUGAAAAGUUUAAUAGCUAUUGGGAUAAUUUGCUCUAGAUAGUAAUGUACGAAAAAUACAACAAAAUUUGUCGCAAAAUCAAUGUUUCAAAUUAGAUACACCUAGACAUGAGCUGCAUGAUAUCUAUUGCUUUGACAAUUACAAAAUUACUCAAUGCAGUCUGGAGCAGCAAAAGAUCUUGGGUUGUAUCUUGUGAAAUUCAUGUAAUUUACUCAUAUAAAUAUGUUUUUGAAUGCGAUUGGGUUGCUAUCCUUAACUAAAAUAAGUAUGCUAGAAGAUAAAACAUUUUUUUUUUUUGUAUAUCCAUAUUGCCUAUUUUAAGUUCAAAAAUAAAUUUUGUUUUCCCUCUUCUAGAAAAUCAGUUUACAUGUGUUUUUCAGAGGAACUCAUUUUUUCUAUUCGGCAAACCCCAUAAAGGGAUGGAUACUAGCCCAGAUUUUAUUAAUUAUUGAAAUGAAAUAUUAUAUGGACUGGUGGAACGGUUUGUAGACCAAAUCUCUAAAAAUAACUAAUGAACAUAAUGGCACGAAGGAAAUAAGGAGUACUACUCCCCUCAUCAUUUUCUUUUUAAUCGUAGAAGUAGAAAGAACAAAAAAAAAAAAAAAACCUUUUUGCCAUCCUCAAAAACAUUUAAUUUUUUUUCAAAAAUCAAGAAAAGCUGAUAGUUUGUUCGUGCAUCAAGCUAUUUACUAUUAAGGAAUUAAUGUUAGACUAAAAUCCAUGAGCUAUCAAAACAGUUUCAAGGAUUUGAAUAUUUUUUCCAACCAUCUUGAAUCCUUCUUAAAUGGAGGUGAAAGAUGAUUUGGGAUUCGGGCUCUGACCUCCAGAUGCACAAGUAAUCUUGAUAGUUACGAUUGAACCACAUUAACUUGGUCUAAUCUGGCCUGUUUAUUUCAAGCUUUUUGAAGUUUGUAACGAGUACAUUUUACUUUAGACCUUUCAACUAUAAAUGAGCUCCCAUUGCAAUCCUUAAACUUUAACUUUAAACAUUUUAUCUCCUAAAAUAUGAAAUCUAUCCACUUUAGUUCUUAAACUUCAAUUUUGGACACUUUAAUCCCUAAAGUAUGAAAUCUAUUUCACUUUAAUCCUGAAACUUUUAGUCACUUGCCUAUUGCUUAGUUAGUUUUGACAAUUUUGUGGGAUAGAUUUUUUGCUUUAUAGGAUAAAAUGUCCAAAAUGAAAGUACUAAAGUAGGAUGGAUUUCAUAUCUUAGGGGGAAAAGUGUCCAAUAUUAAAAUUUAAGGACUGAAAUGAGAGUGUGUUUAUAGUUUAAGUGUCUAAAAUAGAAUUUAGCCUUUUGUAAUUAACAAAUCAAAGAGAAUAGAGGCCUGUCCAGUUAAUUUUGUCCAAUUCUGUCCAAUUAUUGUAAUUCGUAAAACUUUUGCAUAAAUUCAUACAACUAUGAUACAUUCCGGGAUUAGUCGUAUGAGUUCACCAAAUACUGUAAGAUUUACACAAUUAGAUAGACUGGAUAAAAAAGUACAACGGAAGAGGUUCCACAUCCUGAAUAAGAGGUAAAAAGGACUACCCUACCAGGCGGGCCUCUACGAAAUUGGAAACCAGGUGGCUGUAAGCCUAUUCACUUUCUAGAAAGAAAGACAGGGUAUUCUGUACACGGUAAUCUAAGGAAAAAAAAAAACUGUGGUUUGUUAAGCAUAUCUGUUGGUUUCAGUGUCUCCAAUUUCUUUGGGAUCCGUAGCCAUUUCCUGUACUCGCCACCUUUUGACUUCUUUCAAUGGUGCAUUACUGCAAGAAAUUCAAUGUUCCAUUUGAGGCCAUAGCAAAGAAAUGGGAAACCAUCCUAUGGAGGAUCUGAAGAUUGACAGAAGCGAAACAAUUAUAGUUAAUUGCUUGUGUAGGCUAAGACAUGUUCCCGACGAGACAACAGAAGACAGCAGUGCGACGGACGAUGUUCUGACGUUGAUCAUGAAAAUGAAUCCUAUUUUUUUGUCCAUGGAGUCAUUAGUGGGACAUAGAAAGCCCCAUUUUUCAUCACCCGCUUCCAAAAAGCGCUGCAUCUUUUCUCUUCUUUGUUUGACAUGUUUAAGAAAACUUUAGCACAUAUUGAUCAGGACAGAAUGAUGUUUAAGAAAGAAGUUCUUCGAAGGGAUCCCAUGAAUGUCGUAGCAUGUGAAGUAGGAGUGACAAUUUCUUACACAACAUAAAUCUAAUACGAAAUUAAUGGGGUUUAGAUUGAAUCUUGUAGAUUCGAAUCGAAAUUGGAUCAGAUCCGUUAGACUCGAAAAAAUCAGGUUGAGUCAAGGUCAAUCGCGGGAUGAUCUGGUUAAUCUAUUUAUGAAUUAAAAAUAAUUUAAUAAAUAUAAAAUAUUUUAUCUAACUUAUUAACUAUUUUCUAUUUUUCUUGAACAAAUCCUGAAAUAUCCUUAUACCAUUAACCUCAAUUCGAUCGUUUUCACUUUUCAUUUUUCACAACUUUACUCUUUGUCUUCCGCACUUCACCUCUCACUGCUCACUAGCAGAGCCGGUCGGCAAGGCAGGACGUCGAAACCCCUGAGCAAGGCUGACUAUUCUAAUCCUUCUCCGAGCUUAACUUUUGCCUUCUGAUUUCUAAACUUGUGUUGUGUGGCUUCUCUUUGAAGUCUAAACGACUGGCGAUGGGCCCUUCUACUCUCUCUUAAGUGUCAAACAUUGAUGGACUCCAGAAGAAUUCGGAUUUCAGAUCGAUUAUCGAAGAAGCUUAAAUAUUUAUGUGCUUUUCAUCUUUUUUUUUUUCUUUUCAGUGAUGUAGGAGUCGAUGAAGUCAUAGCAGGCAUAUUUAUAUUGUAAUGGCUUAAGCUAAACAUUCUUGAUUUCCUUCACCUCAUGCAUUGUUUUGAAAAUCACAUAAAAUUGGACUGAAAAUUUUUCUUGUUUUGAUCUUUUGCUAGAGAUUUUGAAGAGGUUUUUUGGAAUCAUAAAUAACAAAAGACUCCGGACUAUGUCCCAUAAUUCAUGAUUGUUUAUAAACAUACAAUGUGAUUCAAUAUUUACCUUCUUAAUUUGUUGGGCUAUACACAGCCUUGUUUGAUUAAGAUUUGUAAAGAUGGAUCUGCUACUGAAGUCAAUAGUUACUUAGAGAAUCAAAUGAUGCCAUUAUCUCAUUGUUUAGUGGUUGUCUAACAACCCAAAGUGAGUAGUCUGAUUAUUGUGGUUGCAAGCAUUAUUCAUAGGCUAUUAAGCUGUCAAAUUAUUUGUGAAUGCACCAUCUUUCAAAAUUUUUGUUUGUAUUAAGAGAAAAUUAACUUGAAUUGACAAUGACAUGUAUGUCUAUUUAUUGGUUAACAGAUGAAUGAAAGUAAUCCAAAUGCAAAUCCAAUUGAGGUUGAUGAUGAUAGUGGUAGUGACAAUAGCAUUGAAGAGACAAUGGAAAUGAAUCAAUCUCAAUGUCCUGACCCUGCUUUCAAAGGGAACAAAAAAGAGGAAGCUAACUUCUGAAGUUUGGGAUUACUUUACCAUCUUGGCUCCAAAACCGACUGAGGAAUUGAAGUGCAAAUGCAAAAAAUGUAAGCACAUCUAUUCUGCAGAGAGUAAAAAUGGGACAAGUAACCUUCUUCGACAAAUAAAAAAAUGUCAGAAAAUGACAACUAAAGAUAUUGGUCAAUAUCUUCUUUCUCCUGAUCAAGGAGCUUUGGCCACAAGCAAUUCCAGUUUAGUCAGGAGAAAUUUAAAGAUUUAAUGAUGCAUGCAAUCAUCAGAUACGAGUUGCCAUUUUCAUUUGUUAAAUAUGAGGGAAUUAGAAAUGUUUGUUCAUAGUUGGAACCACAAGUUAAACAUGUUACUAGGAACAUUGCGAAGGCAGAUAUAAAAAAAUUUCAUGCUAAAGAAAUUGAUAGGCUUGGGGCUAAAUUAUAGUUAUGUCCUAGUUGAAUUUCUUUGAUUUCUAAUGCAUGAAGCUCCAGUUAUUGAUGGGUACUUGAGUUUGAUAGCACACUUUGUUGAUAAUAAUUGGGUGCUGCAAACCAAAAAAAUCUGAUUUUUUCUUACGAGCUUUCUCCUCAUAGUGGAGUUGCUCUAGUAGAAAAAAUUUAUAGUUUGGUUAGUGAUUGAGGCAUUGAAAAGAAAUUGUUCACCAUCACUUUGGAUAAUGCUUUUGCAAAUGAUUCUUGUGUACAAAUACUUAAGAAUCAGUUUAGGUUGAAAGGUGCUUUGAUGCAUGAUGGCAUUUUAUUUCAUGUGAGGUGUUGUGUUCAUAGUCUAAAUCUGAUUGUGCAAGAUGGUUUGAAAGAAAUUGAUGUCCCAGUAGAUAGAAUAAUGGAAUGUGUAAAAUAUGUGAAGAGCUCUCAAGUGAGAAAAGUAAAGUCUACUAAAUGUGUAGUACAAACAUCCCUUGAUUCUAAAAAAGACUCAGUUCAGAAUGUCCAACUACAUUGGAGUUCCACUCAUAAGAUAUUCUCAAGUGGUCUUUAUUAUUAUCUUGCCUUUUGUCACUUGCAAUUAAGUGAUUCCAAUUUUCGAUGUUGUCCAUCUUUAGAACAGUGGGAAAGAGUUGAAAAGAUUUGCAGUUUUUUAGAAAUUUUUUAUGAUGCAACCAUUGCCUUCUCAAGAUCUGAGUACCCAACUGCUAACUUAUACUUUCCACAAGUUUUUCUGAUUCAAUUAAAGUUGUUUGAGGACUGUAGGAGUUCUGAUGGUUUUAUGAAGAAAAUUGCAGAAUAGAUGGUUGUGAAAUUCAAAAAAUAUUGGUCUGAGUUCAAUAUUGUGAGAUUUGAUCCUAGAUACAAAUUUCAGCUUCCUGAGUUUAGCUAUCAAAAGUUAUAUGGUCAGGGAUACACUUUUUAGUCUUUUCAAUGAAUAUGUUAGAGCUUGUAAGACAUUUCAGCCAUCAUCUUCCCAUUAUUGGGGUAGCAAUGAGAUGAAUGAGAUAUUCUUUGAUGUAGCAGAAGCACAAGAAAAAAAAAUUAGUGAAUGUUUUCAAGGUGUGAUGAUAAUAUUUUUUAGUAUUAUUGAUUUAUUAGUUUAUAUACUCCCAUCUAGUUUUAAAAAUGUUAUGUUCUCAUUUUCAUGUCUGUUAUAUCUCUCUUUCAAUGUCAUGAUCAUAGGAAGUUGAUGAAUUUGAUAGUUUUGAAUUUACCAUUGGUGCACAAAAAACUCAAUUGGAAUGUAUCUAGAUGAGACAAGAAGUAAAAGAAAAUCUAAGAUUCAUGUUCUUGACUAUUGGAAGGUUCGACAGUAUCAAUUUCCAGAUCUAGCAAAAUUAGCUGGAGAUAUCUUAUGUGUUCUUGUAUCAACCGUUGUAUCAGAAUCUGCUUUUAGCCUUGGUGGUAGGAAUCUAGAUCAAUUCCUAGUUCAUUGUCACCACUAAUAGUUGAAGCUUUAGUAUGCACUAAAGACUGGUUGUUUGGGGACAAAGGUAUAAUUAGUAAAUUAAUGUUUCCUAAUAUCCACUUUGUUUCUUUAGUAUUUUAUACUUAUUUUAUUUUUCUCAUCUUAUUUAUGUAGAGAUGACAGAUUUGAGGUUGGAGGAUAUAAUUCAAGACAUCAUGUCUUUAAAGAUAUUAAAAGAUGAUGCACAAUUUGUUGGAAAUUUAAACUCUAAUGUGGUCAACCUCUAAGUCAUUGAGCUGGUGAGUUAAAGUUAUAGCAUAAUAUGUUUUAUUGCACUUAUAUGUAACAACAUUAAUACUUUGAUAUCCGUACCUAUUGCAGGUAGCUUAAAAAGGUGCUUGCAUCCCUUGAUUUAGUGAAGGUGGAAGUUGGAAGAGGAAUAUCAAUUUGACCGCUUGAGCUUGGAACCUUGGACCAGUGAUUCUAUUUUAGUUUCAUGUCUAUUUUGUUGCUAUUUAGUGUUUAUGGCUUGUAGCAAUUGGGAUUCAAUGAUGAAGUGAUGAUAUUGCGACUUGCUAUUAUCUUAUGUCUUUUUAGUAUUUAUUAUAGUUUGUAGCCAUUUGGAUUUGAUGAUGAUAUUAGGAGUUGGGACUUGAGCUUAUCAGCAUAUGCUAUGUCUUUUUAUGGCUUGUAGUCAUUUGGAUUUGGAUUACAUUUGGUGAAUGCCUUUUGUGUAUGAUUGCUUGAAUGGAUUUUUUUAUUUCCACUGGGCAAUUGACAUUGCUGAUUAUUAUAGGUAAUUAAACUGAUUUGUAGUUCUAUGCUUCUAUUUUAGAUGAUCAACUAAUCAUUUAUAAGGCAGGUUGAAACAGGUUAGGUUCAAGUGACCAGCGAAAAUUGCGAUUUGUGUUCAGGUCAAGGGACCUGACCUGAUAAAAUAAAUGGGUUGUGUCCGGGUUGACGACUUUUCUAGAAUACCCGUGUCUUAACCUAUCCUGUCAACCCGUGACCCGACCUGAUUACCACCCCUGUGAAGGUGUUGAAAGGAUUGAAAGGCCAGAAACAUACAAGUGGUUCGUGCUGAUUUUUAGUGGCCAACAAACCAACGCCAAUGUCAUGAUUGCUGCGACCAUGGCAUUUAGUUAACACCACGAAAAUGAUAGAAAUGAAUUGAUAUCAGUAAAAGAGAGUGCUCACCGAUAUUCUAUGACUUCUAGACCAAAGUUAUUUGUUCUACCUUGAACAACCUCAAGAACUUAAAAUCUAUGACAAAGUAACCGAUCAAAGAAGAAAUGAGAAGGAAAGACUGAUUUGCAACUGAAGCUAACAAAUUGUUUAAUAUGAAAGUAACAACUGCUUGGAAUGAUACAGAGUGCAUGAGAAUUAUAUAGAUUGCUUGAGAAUAAGAAACUUGCUUGGAAUUCAAAGGAAACUGAUUCUGAAUUCAUAUCAAAUAUAAAGAAAUUUAUAGAACUUAAUAUUGAUUGAAAGCAUGAAAAUGACGAGUUGCUAGAAAAGGAAAUGUUUGUAAGAAAAUUGGAAAUCCUAAACCUAGCCUAAAAGCUUCUAAGAAAGCUUGCUAAAAGAAAGAGCAUUUUUCUAAAGAUAUUGUCUUUGAUUUGGAUGUUGUUGGAGAAGUCCUCAAUCUGGUCUCUCUUCUAAUAGUUGUAGUAUUAACGAUCACUUUGCCAUCUACUGAUAAACUCACUUCUACUUUUAACACCUUACUAUCAAGUGCAACUACCUAUCAUGUCAGCUUUAUCAGCCGAUCAUGAGUAGUGAUAACUGCCCACUCCCAUGUAUUUAGGAUAAUGUAACUGUCAUAUCCCUACUUUGUAAGGCCAGAAUCUAAUCCUCAUAUCUUUCUUCGCCAACCACUGUCAUUGACUCUAUCUCGCAUCGACACUUGAUCAAUCUCUCAUGACCUGGUCAAACUUUCAAAAAGGAAGGGCUAAUGUAAAGAAGAGAUUAGAUAGGGCAAUAUGUAAUGAAUGAUGGAGGAUUCACUUCCCUGAAACCUAUAUUCGCUACCUCCCACGCACCCACUUUGACCACCACCCAGUGUUGGUAACUCUAGAUAAGGGUAAUAGUGGGGGAAGGCCAAGGCAAUUUUGCAUAGAGAUGGCAUGGACUACUUAUCCUACCAUUUAGAGUAUGAUUAAGUCCGUAUGGAAAUCAGAUAAGAAGAUGUGGGAUAAUAUAUCUAACUUCCUGGAAAAAACUCAACACUAGAACAUAGAGGUUUUUGGGAACAUAUUUCAAAGGAAGAGGAGAUGUUUAGCAAGGAUUGAAGGCAUCCAAAAGUCACUGACAAUAAAACAUAACCCUUACUUGGAGAAAUUGUAGAUGGAUCAUGUUAAGGAGUAUAACCAGAUUCUGGAACAAGAAGAACUUUUGUGUUUUCAAAAAUCAAGAGUGAAUUGGCUGAACUAUUGUGAGAGAAAUACAUGUUACUUCCACAGCUCAAUAGUGAUAAGAAGAAGGAGAAACCAUGUGGAUUGUCGGAAGGAUGAUCAAGUGAAGUGGCAACAAGUCCAAAAAAGCACUUAAAGCCAUGGUGGUGAAAUUUUAUAAAGACUUAUAUUGUACGGAAGGGGAUACCAUGAAUGAUUUUAGUUGCUCAGUCAAAUUUCCAAGAGCUGAGGAAAGAGAUUUGAGAUGUGAUUAGACAAGUAUGCUCAGAAGAAGUUAAACAAGCCUUGUUUAGUAUCAAGGAUAUAUAAGCACCUGGCCACAACGGAAUUAGUGCCUUCAUCUUCCAAAAGGGAUUGGAGAUCGUUAUGGAGAGCCUUGUAAAAUUUGUCAAAGAUGCUUUCUUCAAAAAGGCAGUGCCAUCCCAAGUGAAUGACACCAUCAUAUCCCUUAUUCCCAAAGUUGGGAACCCAGAGAGGGUAACCCACUUUAGACCUAUUUCCCUAUGUAGCGUUUCAUAUAAGGUGAUCACUAAAAUUCUAGUCCGGAGGAUCAGGCUGCUAAUGACUCAAAUAGUUGGCUAGGAACAAUGUAGGUUCAUCGCAGGACAACAGUCCUCAGAUAAUGUGAUAAUCCUACAGGAGAUAGUCCACUCAGCUAAGAGGAAGGAGAAAACAGGAGUGAUAAUCGUCAAAGUGGAUUUAGAGAAAGCAUAUGACCGAAUAAGCUAGAAAUUCUUUCAUAACACACUAGAAAAUAUGGGUUUUUCAGAGGAGGCAAUGAAACUAAUUAUGAGUUGCAUGCAAGUAAAUAGAGCAAUCACUCCCAGAAGAGGACUUAGACAAGGAGAUCCCCUUUCACCAUAUUUAUUAUCCUGUGCAUGGAGAGGCUGAGUCACCUGAUAGCUGAAGCAGUUCACCAAGGGAAAUGGAAACUAGUGAGGGCAUCAAGAAAUGGACCAAGAAUUUUUCAUCUUAUGUUUGCUAAUGACUUGAUUCUUUUUGCUGAAGCAUCAGAGGAACAAGCAAUGGUAAUUAGGAAGGUGUUGGAGAACUUCUGUGCAAUCUCAGGCCAAAAAGUCAACAUGGCGAAAUCCAAAAUAUUUUGCUUAGGGAAUACUCCUAGAGAGUUGGCUAGGAGAAUAAGUAAAAUGACGAAAGUUUCCUUAACGACUAAUCUAGGGAAGUAAUUAGGUGUGCUAGUCUUACAUGAGCGGGGAACUCAGGCCACUUAAAUAGAGAUGCUGGAUAAAAUGCAUGCAAGGUUAGCAGGGUAGAAGAGAAAUUGUCUAGCCUAUGUAGCCAGAGUCACUCUUAUUAAGUCGGCAUUAACUGCUAUCCCAAAUUAUAUGAUGCCGACUAUUAAAUUACCAAACCUAGUGGUUGAUAAAAUAGAGAAAUGUAUCACGGGAUUCCUCUAGGAUGAUUCUGAGGAGGAUGGUAGGAAAAUGAACCAUUUGGGUUGGGAUAAAGUUGCACAGCCCAGGCUAUUUGGAGGUCUGGGAAAAUGAAGAAUUAAUGCGAAAAAUAAAGCUUCACUUGCCAAGCUAAGUUGGAGAUAUCACAGGAACAAAAAUGAAUUAUGGACAAGGGUGCUACAGUCAAAGUGUAGAAGUAGAAUAGAAGAUAUUUUAUUACUGAAGAAGGUAGGGGAGUCCCAAGUUUGGAGGGGUAUUAAAUUAGGGAGCGAAUUAGUAGCUUUAGAGGAAAAAUAGACACUAGGGAAUGGACAAAUCAUUAGUUUCUAGAUAGAUAAAUGGGUAGGAGAUAGCAAUUUGGAGGAGGAAGUUGUUGUUGAAAUACCUAAAGAGGAAAGAAAGAAAAAGGUGACGGAGUAUUGGGAGAAAGAGAGAGGAUGGAAAUUCAAUAUUAUCUCUAAAUUUCUAUUAACCGAGACUAUACUAAAGUUGUUACCUAUUAGGGUUGAUGAGAAAGGGAAUAACAUGGAUAUAGUAAGCUAGGGAGAAGAAAAUAAUGGAGAUUUCACCACGACAUCAGCAUAUGAUUAUGGAGGAAAAUGAAGACAGAAACUAGAAUAAACUAUGGAAGCUCAAGGGACCUGAAAGAUGGCAAUUCCUACUUUGGCUAGUUAGGCAUGAGAGGCUUAUCACCAAUGGCGAAAAGUAUAGAAGACACCUCUAUCCCUUUGGUAGGUGUCCAAUUUGCGAAAUCAGCAUUUGAGUCCAUAUUGCAUAUGUGACAGCUCCACCUCCCCCUAAGGCGAAUCAAAGGGUUUGGCGGACCGCCUGCCCAUCUCUCGCCGGGACUCACUCACUCUCUACAGUCCUCCAAUCAAUUACAAUACACAUAUCAAAUAAUACAUCAAAUUCUCCAUGAAUUACAUAUCACAAGCGAAGUAAAAACUAGUUCCCAAGCGUGGAACGUAUACAUACAUUCGUUCAAUUCCAAACAUUCACACAAACCCAACUAUUACACAAGAUGAAUCUAAAACUCAAACUAUACAGGAGAUAAUCCAUCCAGUCACACGGAGAACUUAAUACAAGUACUUCCUUUGUCUCGAGCCCUAUGGGGAGAAAAUAAAUAUUUUGGGUGAGCUAGAAGCUCAGCUAGUGUCCAGUAAAAUCAAUAAUCAACCAGUUUCACAAUAAUGCGUUGAAAUGAUAUCAUGAAUCAAUGAUCAAAUGUAUGUUUAUUGCUCUUGUGAGCCAGUGAAAUCACCGUACUUAGAACUCCAACGCUCAAACAGAUUCAGUAAGUCAAACAGUACAAAGGAGACAUCGGUGCUCCAGAUAAACAGUAGAGAGACGUUGGUUCUAAGUACAAGAUUUUCCAAAAACUCAAUGGAGCCAAAUCAUGUCAUGGCACACACACAAACACAAAUGAUAUGCAAUCGAGUAAACAAUGCAAGAAUUAGUUCGAAAAGUAACUUUGAAAAUAGUUGUGGAAUCACUCACCAAUCACAGCUCAUGAUCCAUCCAUCAUAGAUCAUUGCCUUGAUCAAGUCCAAACCCUAGAUUACAAAUAUCAUGUCAAGCAAAGGGAAUUCUAAAAUCAGCAAGUUCCUAUCACCUUUUGGCAUUUUAAUCACAAUUGAAGCUACACUUAUCCGAUUGAAACGAAUCUUAUGGCGUUACGAAGCUAAGACAUAUACCCACAUUUCUUAUGAAGACCUCCAAAACCAAAUUAUACAUUUUCAUGGUCAAAAAUCGAAAUCUUAGAGAAAAAUGGAAACUGUCCGUGAAACAGGGCUUAAGGGCAGUCAAGGGUAUUUCAGUCAUUUCACAUGCUACAGUACUCCAAUCCAUCUGAAAUUUUGCAGGUAGAUAGCUAACUCAAAUCUCUACAACUUUCAUGUUUUGUCCAACACCUGGUUCUGUAACGGCCCCACUUCUCCCUAGGGCGUACCCCAGGGUAUCAGCGGGCCGCCUGCCCAGCUCUCGCCGGGACUCAGUCAGUCACUAUAAGAAAAGAGAAUAAAAUCCACACAACCAUCGAAAUAACAAUAAUUCCAAACUUAAACGUCAACUUAUAUACAUUACUGUCUCAAUGGAAGUACACCUGUCAAAAUAUAGGUUCUCAUUUCCCCAUACAACUAGCCCGUGCCAAGCACUAGGGCGAGAACCUUUACAAAAGAAACCGAAGUGCUAAAACGGCUAAUCUAUUCGUAGCUUCCAUCCUCGCACGUCUUCCCCUGCUAAGGAAAACAAAACUAAAGGGAUGAGCUGGAAAGCUCAGUGAGGUUCCGUACACAUAGGCAACAAGAGAAACAAAUGCAUGUAAACAACAAUUCACGAUACAAGUACAAUAAAGCGAUAAACACAUUCAUUAAAAGGAUACGUGCUCACAAGGAGCCAUUCGUGCAUUCAUUCAUUCUCCUUCCAUUCUCCUUCCUUCAAUCAUUUGAAAAUACAUUUUGUAUAAGUAAAACCCCUCAUUCAUUCAUUCAUUUCAUUCACCCCGUCCCUGGCUUUUGGCCAGGCUCCACCAACCUACAGGGUAAUACUCGAGUAUACCGAAUCGUUCACCCAAGUUCCUAAUCGCUCGACCGAGUCCGACUGUCUCGAGACGACCGGUAACAAGGGGCUAUGGCCAGUUCAGCCCGAAGGCCUACAUUCAUGCACAAUUAACAUUUCAAUCGCUCAAUCAUUAAAAUUCACAAUCAUUUAGGCUAAGUGCGGUAAAGUACACACUCGCCUCGAAAAUCGUUUUAGCAAUCAUUGAAAGCGUUUAACAUGUUAUCAAUCAUUCAAACAAGCCAUAUAAUCAGGAAGUAUAACAAAUAAGGAACACUCACCUAUACACGCAAAAUAACGCCCACUUCUCAAUCACCACGGAAACCUAAAAGGCCACAAAGACCACAUUACAAUCCAUCUAACAUGAUUUAGAUGAAAACAACCAAAACCCGACUACUCGCGAGUAAACGUAUAAAAGGACUUUCAAAGUGUAAAGAGGGCGUUUGGAUCCGUGAAUAAGAAAGGGACUUCCAAACCAAAAGGGUUAUCAAAUCUCUAACGAAAAACAUUUAACCAUAACAAAUCAAAAUCCCAAUAGAUAGGCUAAGGAAAUAUUCUCUUGGAAUUGUAAAGAAUCAUUCGUGCAGCUACAAGCCACUAUAUAUUCAAGUAGUGGUUAUAUAAUAAGGGUUUUGAUGAGAAUCAUAUGGAAAAGAGGACUCGUAAAACUUUACUUGAAAGUAGUUCACUUGUGGCCGAGAAAACCCUAACUUGGCCGAUAAAACCCCUAAUUCAAACCUCUUUAUUUUGAAUACGGGGUAAGUAAACAUUUGGUGGUUCAAAUCGAAGAGGUAACAUGUUUUCGAACGGUAAAAUGGUCACAUUAGUUGCCUUGCGGAAAUAUACAAGUUUAACUAGAACUUAGCCCUCGAAUCAAUAUUUGAAAAACCCAAAUGAAAUUCUCAAGGAAAUACACCCAAUUUGAUACAAGAUACAUUUCCAAAGCCACUUUAACUUAUUCAAUUUCCAAGAAAACAAACGGACGGCAUGUCCCUUGUGUUUACCUAUUUUCCAGCCAUUAAUGGCUUCAUUAUUUUUCUCAAAUCAGUCCCAACGUGUCAUAUAGAAUAAUCCCAUCCAAAAGCCAUUCACUAGGCUUACAAGUCAUAUAAAUACACAAUAAAUACAAAGAGCAAGCUAGAAACAUUUCCGGAUAAAAACAGUUUUGACAUCAUUUUUGCGGUUUUGGCACCAAUGGUGCUACGAUUAUCGGAUGAGGGUGCAAGACCCACCAUCUCGAAGCUAAAAGACAGGGCUACAACAAUGUAGAAGGCUACUCAGUCCAAAUCCUAGCACAACUAGGUCAAACGUGCCAAAUACUAAACCAGAAUUACCAAAACAGGUUUGCAAAACACACAAAACUGUAAUGAACACAACUCAGUCUAUACAAGUCCAAAUGCCGAAAUUCCAAAGGCAUAAGUUAGCUAAGACAUCCAGCUACAUUUCAUCAGAAGACACCAACUUCAAAAUCCAAACCAAUGCCAGUCAAAACAACCAAAUACAAACGCAGUUUUCACAGUCUGAGCAACCCAGAUCAGCAAUAGUAAAAUCGACAUAUCUCUCUCUACACUAAUCCAAAUGACCUGAAAUUUUGCAGGCACUUUAACCUCAUCAAUACCUACAACUUUCAUGUUUUGAGUAAAGUCCAAUUGGGCCUCUAUCUAUGAGAUAUAAAUUCGGACAGAAUGAAGAACAUUGAAACCUAGUCUUCCCAAUUUUCCUUCCAAACCAAACUUGCUUGCAAAUAACCAUCAUACACACCUCCUAGCCUCAUUCUAUAACAUUUCCAUUCAUCAUACUUGGCCACAUAGACAAAAUCAUAUGCAAACAGAAAAAUCAUAAUUAAAUAGAAAACUUCACCAUAAUCAACCCCAAAUCAAGAUAUAACUCACAAAAUAACAUAUCCAACCCUUACAAUUCACAAUUUAACCAUUAGCAAUGCAAGAGAGAACUUUCUUAAUCAUCUUACCUCACAACUCAAGAAGACUAGCAAUUCCAAGCUUCCCCUUUAAAAUCACUCCACCCAAAAGCUUUAACCUUCCAAGAAGCUCACUUGUACGGAGGGAAUUUAAAUUCUAUCGGUGAAGUUCCAAGAUUGAAGCAAAAAUCAAAGAUGAAGAUUGAAGAGUUUUUUCUCUCUUUGCUCUCAAAGCUCACGGCUGAACAAGAAGAGAAAUGAGAUAUUUUGGUGAUCAAAAGUGAUAAGAAGGAAGAAAAAACGCUGGUCAAACCAGCUGUCCUGUCACAAUCCGGCCGGUUUCUGGCCGGAUUUCAGGCCGGAUUCCUGGCCGGAUAUGAGGCAGAGACGAAACUCAUUCUUUUUUCAAAACUUCUCCACAAUCCGGCCAACAAUCCGGCCAAGAACUGGCCGGAUUUCCGGCCGGAUUCGGUCCUUCAGCAUUUUCGCAAAAUUUUUCCUCUUUUCCAAGUUUGAUUGCCACGCUCAAUUGUACUUCUAACACGUACACAUACAUACAUAGCUCAUACAUAAUUGCACAUAACAACAAAGCCUUCCCGUUUUUAAAACGAUUAGUGAACAAUACUUCAAUUAAACGGGAACAAGAGUAAACCAAAACACUUAGAAAAUAUGCAAGGUUUAGGGUUCUCACACUCUCCCCCCCUUAGGAAAUUUCGUCCUCGAAAUUUUUCUCACCUUCAUUAGCCUCAGGCGAGUCAGGAAUCGUUCGGUUGUCUAAUGCAUAUGCUUUGGCCGGUACAUUUGUUCGGUUCACUUUUUCUUUCGUCGGUUUUGCUUUAGUCCCAUCCAGUGACUGAGUACUACCCUCACGUAGAUGCCUCCUCGGACAAGUGCUCACUUGAUGCUCACUGCUUCCACAAAUUAGACAUUUCCCCCCUUUUCGCCAACAAGCAUCCUCGGUGUGGUUGGCCUUUCCACAGUAACCACAAAUCAAGGGAGGGGUCACCUUUUGACUAUCUUGAGAAAUCUCCUUAGAUCCAAUUUGACUUCCUUUAGUAGACCUCUCUUCCAUCGCCCUUAUUGUCCAUGGCGGAUAGGAUAACUGGCUCCCCUUUUGAACUUUAGACGGCGCCAUUGUUUCACUAAACUCUUCUAAUCCACUGCCCGAUGCACCUCUUUUCCGAGUUUGGGAGGCCUUUAUUUGUGCCUUGGCUCUCUCGAUUCGUUGAGUCUUCUCAAGGGCCUCCGUAAAGGUAUUCACUUGCGCGGCUGCCAACGCCUCUUGGAUGUCCAGGUUCAAUCCUUGUAUGAACCGCCUCACUCUUCUCGGUUCCGUAGCUACUAAUUCGGAGGCAAACUUGGAUAGUUUGGUGAAUUUUGUUUCGUAUUCAGCCACACUUAAUGUCCCUUGGCGUAGUCCAAUAAAUUCGUCCUCCCUCCUUUCUUGAACUAAAGGUGGGAGGUACUUCUCGUGAAAUUCUCUGGUAAAGUUCGCCCAAGUCCAUAUGGUUCGUUCCCUUUCCCAUUUUGCUCUAAUUACGUUCCACCAUGAUCGAGCCGGUCCUUCAAAUUGGAACACUGCGAAGUUCACUUGCCUUUGCUCGGUAUAGUUUAAGGCUGUGAAUAUAUUCACCAUGGCCUCUAACCAUUGCUCAGCGAUAUCCGGAUCAGGCCCUCCAGCGAAUUUUGGAGGUGCAAACUUCUGAAACCUCUCCAGAGCCUUAUCUUCGCCCAUCUCAGGGUUCUGGGGUUGAUUCACAGGUAUUUGGCCCUGUUGCUCUACUAAUCUCGCCAAAAUAUCCAUCAUUUGCUGCAUUGCCGUCGCCAUUUGGUCUCCGGCCUCAACUCUAGGUUCUUGUUCUUGUUCGGCGGAUGUUUCCCUUUCUACUCUAGGUUCUGGGGUCCGUUUAGUUCCACGGCCUCGACCACGUCCCUGACUACGUCUCCCGUCCAUAUUUUUUUCCUUCCCCUUUUUUUUUUCCAAAAGUAAUGUAAUAAAUAAAGGCGAUAAGAUGACUAAAACAACAACAUCGAUGUACCAAGUACACAAGUAACAUUUACGCACAUAACACUCCAUAUAUCAAGUCAAUUACACAAGUACGUAUCAGGUCAGGAAAACAUUCAUACGUACGAACACAUCAAUAGACGUCGUUUAAUAAGAAUAUGCGGGCGAAUUAAACGAGGAGGUAAUGGUCGUCCCAGUCUCAGCUAAGGUAGCCCCGUCCGGUCUCUCACGUCACUUACUGUUCACACUGGAUAUCCCUUAACCUCUGGUACUCAUUCUAGUUGGAUAAAGCCUGUUCAUGGCCUCAAAAUAUAAAUCUCAUAUACUUAACAUCGUCUCAACUCUCGAGUACUCGGGUACGAGAAUCCGAGAUAAGAUAAUUCACCUCUCGAGCUGGCCAGUCCCAAGAGUAAACCAUCUACAAUCGGAAUUCCUCCCAGACGUACCUAUCUAUUGUCCUUAGAUACCACGAGAAAGAUUUAAGGCCUAUAACAUUCACAGUUCAAAGCUUAUGCUCCAACGAGCACUUAAUCCAUCAUACCUAUUUAUCACUCAGUCCAGGCUCACUCCGCGCAGAGACCACGCGAAGCAGGCUCUGAUACCAACUGUAACGGCCCCACUUCUCCCUAGGGCGUACCCCAGGGUAUCAGCGGGCCGCCUGCCCAGCUCUCGCCGGGACUCAGUCAGUCACUAUAAGAAAAGAGAAUAAAAUCCACACAACCAUCGAAAUAACAAUAAUUCCAAACUUAAACGUCAACUUAUAUACAUUACUGUCUCAAUGGAAGUACACCUGUCAAAAUAUAGGUUCUCAUUUCCCCAUACAACUAGCCCGUGCCAAGCACUAGGGCGAGAACCUUUACAAAAGAAACCGAAGUGCUAAAACGGCUAAUCUAUUCGUAGCUUCCAUCCUCGCACGUCUUCCCCUGCUAAGGAAAACAAAACUAAAGGGAUGAGCUGGAAAGCUCAGUGAGGUUCCGUACACAUAGGCAACAAGAGAAACAAAUGCAUGUAAACAACAAUUCACGAUACAAGUACAAUAAAGCGAUAAACACAUUCAUUAAAAGGAUACGUGCUCACAAGGAGCCAUUCGUGCAUUCAUUCAUUCUCCUUCCAUUCUCCUUCCUUCAAUCAUUUGAAAAUACAUUUUGUAUAAGUAAAACCCCUCAUUCAUUCAUUCAUUUCAUUCACCCCGUCCCUGGCUUUUGGCCAGGCUCCACCAACCUACAGGGUAAUACUCGAGUAUACCGAAUCGUUCACCCAAGUUCCUAAUCGCUCGACCGAGUCCGACUGUCUCGAGACGACCGGUAACAAGGGGCUAUGGCCAGUUCAGCCCGAAGGCCUACAUUCAUGCACAAUUAACAUUUCAAUCGCUCAAUCAUUAAAAUUCACAAUCAUUUAGGCUAAGUGCGGUAAAGUACACACUCGCCUCGAAAAUCGUUUUAGCAAUCAUUGAAAGCGUUUAACAUGUUAUCAAUCAUUCAAACAAGCCAUAUAAUCAGGAAGUAUAACAAAUAAGGAACACUCACCUAUACACGCAAAAUAACGCCCACUUCUCAAUCACCACGGAAACCUAAAAGGCCACAAAGACCACAUUACAAUCCAUCUAACAUGAUUUAGAUGAAAACAACCAAAACCCGACUACUCGCGAGUAAACGUAUAAAAGGACUUUCAAAGUGUAAAGAGGGCGUUUGGAUCCGUGAAUAAGAAAGGGACUUCCAAACCAAAAGGGUUAUCAAAUCUCUAACGAAAAACAUUUAACCAUAACAAAUCAAAAUCCCAAUAGAUAGGCUAAGGAAAUAUUCUCUUGGAAUUGUAAAGAAUCAUUCGUGCAGCUACAAGCCACUAUAUAUUCAAGUAGUGGUUAUAUAAUAAGGGUUUUGAUGAGAAUCAUAUGGAAAAGAGGACUCGUAAAACUUUACUUGAAAGUAGUUCACUUGUGGCCGAGAAAACCCUAACUUGGCCGAUAAAACCCCUAAUUCAAACCUCUUUAUUUUGAAUACGGGGUAAGUAAACAUUUGGUGGUUCAAAUCGAAGAGGUAACAUGUUUUCGAACGGUAAAAUGGUCACAUUAGUUGCCUUGCGGAAAUAUACAAGUUUAACUAGAACUUAGCCCUCGAAUCAAUAUUUGAAAAACCCAAAUGAAAUUCUCAAGGAAAUACACCCAAUUUGAUACAAGAUACAUUUCCAAAGCCACUUUAACUUAUUCAAUUUCCAAGAAAACAAACGGACGGCAUGUCCCUUGUGUUUACCUAUUUUCCAGCCAUUAAUGGCUUCAUUAUUUUUCUCAAAUCAGUCCCAACGUGUCAUAUAGAAUAAUCCCAUCCAAAAGCCAUUCACUAGGCUUACAAGUCAUAUAAAUACACAAUAAAUACAAAGAGCAAGCUAGAAACAUUUCCGGAUAAAAACAGUUUUGACAUCAUUUUUGCGGUUUUGGCACCAAUGGUGCUACGAUUAUCGGAUGAGGGUGCAAGACCCACCAUCUCGAAGCUAAAAGACAGGGCUACAACAAUGUAGAAGGCUACUCAGUCCAAAUCCUAGCACAACUAGGUCAAACGUGCCAAAUACUAAACCAGAAUUACCAAAACAGGUUUGCAAAACACACAAAACUGUAAUGAACACAACUCAGUCUAUACAAGUCCAAAUGCCGAAAUUCCAAAGGCAUAAGUUAGCUAAGACAUCCAGCUACAUUUCAUCAGAAGACACCAACUUCAAAAUCCAAACCAAUGCCAGUCAAAACAACCAAAUACAAACGCAGUUUUCACAGUCUGAGCAACCCAGAUCAGCAAUAGUAAAAUCGACAUAUCUCUCUCUACACUAAUCCAAAUGACCUGAAAUUUUGCAGGCACUUUAACCUCAUCAAUACCUACAACUUUCAUGUUUUGAGUAAAGUCCAAUUGGGCCUCUAUCUAUGAGAUAUAAAUUCGGACAGAAUGAAGAACAUUGAAACCUAGUCUUCCCAAUUUUCCUUCCAAACCAAACUUGCUUGCAAAUAACCAUCAUACACACCUCCUAGCCUCAUUCUAUAACAUUUCCAUUCAUCAUACUUGGCCACAUAGACAAAAUCAUAUGCAAACAGAAAAAUCAUAAUUAAAUAGAAAACUUCACCAUAAUCAACCCCAAAUCAAGAUAUAACUCACAAAAUAACAUAUCCAACCCUUACAAUUCACAAUUUAACCAUUAGCAAUGCAAGAGAGAACUUUCUUAAUCAUCUUACCUCACAACUCAAGAAGACUAGCAAUUCCAAGCUUCCCCUUUAAAAUCACUCCACCCAAAAGCUUUAACCUUCCAAGAAGCUCACUUGUACGGAGGGAAUUUAAAUUCUAUCGGUGAAGUUCCAAGAUUGAAGCAAAAAUCAAAGAUGAAGAUUGAAGAGUUUUUUCUCUCUUUGCUCUCAAAGCUCACGGCUGAACAAGAAGAGAAAUGAGAUAUUUUGGUGAUCAAAAGUGAUAAGAAGGAAGAAAAAACGCUGGUCAAACCAGCUGUCCUGUCACAAUCCGGCCGGUUUCUGGCCGGAUUUCAGGCCGGAUUCCUGGCCGGAUAUGAGGCAGAGACGAAACUCAUUUUUUUUUCAAAACUUCUCCACAAUCCGGCCAACAAUCCGGCCAAGAACUGGCCGGAUUUCCGGCCGGAUUCGGUCCUUCAGCAUUUUCGCAAAAUUUUUCCUCUUUUCCAAGUUUGAUUGCCAUGCUCAAUUGUACUUCUAACACGUACACAUACAUACAUAGCUCAUACAUAAUUGCACAUAACAACAAAGCCUUCCCGUUUUUAAAACGAUUAGUGAACAAUACUUCAAUUAAACGGGAACAAGAGUAAACCAAAACACUUAGAAAAUAUGCAAGGUUUAGGGUUCUCACAGGUUCAGUCUAAAACAUGGAUAAAUUUGCAGUCCAAGAUGAGUCCAGAAACAAGGUAAAGCUGAAAUUACACUUCUAAACUAACCUUUGUAUAUAACCACAAUUACACAUACGAAACAUAAGAUAUUCCACAUAUCUAAUUAGGCCACAAUGCCCCUUCAAUAUGCCCCAAUUGAUAACUCCAAAACCAAUCACAAUUAAUCCCUAAUUCGAAACUCUAAAACUGAAAUUUUCGCACAAAUCUGAAAUUUUUCGCAAACAACCACAACUAACACACAAAGGCGCCAUUUGACACCAUAUCAAGCUAUCAUUCCAUGACCAACCAACAAUUAUCAUCUAAAAUCAGAAAAUUCACUAACAAAUGAGAAAUUUGUCAAACUCUACUUAAAAUCAUGAAAUCAUCCACAAACUAGCAUAUCUAAGCUCUACAAACCACUAAUUUCUGAUUAUGAGGAAGAAAGAGAGGAUUUCUUGGCCACUUACCUUACAACACAAGAAACAAGGUAGCUUAGAGCUUUCCCUUCACCAAAGACUCCACCAAAGCCUUUAUUCUUCCUUGGUACACACUUGUAUGGAGUAAUUUCCAAAACUAACGGUUGAAACUCAAGAUUUAAGCAAAAAUGGAAGUUGAAGUUGAGGAAACUCUCUUGGUUUUUUCUCAAAGUGGCCGGCCAAGCAAAGGGAAGAAAUGAAGAAAUAUCAGCCAAGGAACAAGAUAAGAAUGAAGGAAAACAGCCGGUCAAACUUGGCUGCCGAAGGUGCCACGUCACAAUCCGGCCCAGAUCUGGCCAGAUUGCUGGCCGGAUUUGGGGCAGUGGCGAAAUCCAAUUUUUUCAAAACCCCAAACCAAUCCGACUAGGUAUCCGGCCAAGAACUGGCCGAAUUUCCGGCCGGAUUCACCAAAAAUCACUGUUCACCAGAAUUUUUUUCCUUUUCUUCUUCUUUCAGGCAUCACAGCAUAUGUUUCGGGACUGUAGUUGGACAAACAAGAUUUGGGAUUAGCUGGUGGAUAGUUUAAUGAGUUAAAUCUACUAGAAUGGAUGGACUAGAAUAUCAAAGAAAUGGAGACUGGGAGGAAUAAGGAAAUGAAUUGGCAGCUGACUUUCCAACAGAUGGUGUACCAUAUUUGGUCUGGAAGAAAUGAGGCGAACAUCGAAGGGAAGGAGAAGCGAAUUAAAAUGCCAACAACACAUCUAUUGGCUCAAAUUCAAGGAACGCAAGAAGUGCUGCUAAUUGAUUGAAAAAUUAAGAGAAUGGAAUUGAUGUGCAUUAACUGGGUGAAACCACCACCCAAGUGGAUAAAAGUCAAUGUGGACGAAACAGGUGAAUGGAACCCGGGCACAGUAGGAGCAGGUGAACUUAUCAAAGACGAGUUUAGAAAAUGGAAGCAAGGAUUUUGUAUAAACCUGUGAAAUGCCACAAAUGUGAAUGUCGAGUUUUGGGAUAUGUUAAUUGGGUUGGAAAAGGCAUGAGAAACAGGCUAUUGGAAAGUGGUCCUUGAAUCAAAUUCUCUAACAAGCCUCUAACUGGUAAGAGAUGGAAAUAGUAAUAGUCCUCAAUUCAAUCUUAUCAAAGCAGAUUAGAAACUGGAGGGAUAAGGAUUAGAAGUGUAAGAUCCAACAUGUUUGGAGGGAAGGAAAUACAUGUGCAGAUUGCUUGGCCAAGCUCAACCUGAAAAGCACCCCAGGAGUGUAAUAUUAUGAGGAACCUCCAUAAAUAGUUAGGAGACUUUUGAGUAAUGAUGCAGCAGGGGUUGCAACCCCUUAUUUAGUUCCUAUGUAAAGGGCUUGUGGCCCUCUAUAGAACCAAAAAAAAAAAAACCACUACCUCAUCAGCCUAUUUCAUAUCAGUGCUUACAUACAUGAGUGGACAUGUAUUGACACACCUUUGCAUAAGUUCAGUUAUCACUGCCAAUUUUUAGUGUACCCUUCACUAAUCGGCCCUGUUCUAAUGCCACUGCCAAUAAAACCCUAGGUUGCCAAUUUAUAAAGACUAGUUGCUAAUUGCACCAUCCAAUGACCUCCGUCUAUUGCAAUUGAUACUCUCCUCGAUAUAAAGCCAAUUGUUCACUUAUCAAUGAUUUGUACAUAGUACACGAACACAAGCAAUGGCAAGCUAGGAUACAGAGGGUUAGUUUUUCUUAGCUCCUACUGAACCAAGAUAUUUUGAGACAAGUAAGGGCCAAGGUGAGGUUGCAAUACCAUAAAGAUUUUCUAGUUGAUAAAGAUUCCAACUGGAUACCACAAGGUUGGAAGGGAAGAGUUUUUUAUGCAUUCUCGUGUUGGAAUUUUGUUCAAGAGUGGCAAAAAAGGGUUCUUGUUACUGUAGAGAAAUGAACUACUAUACAAUUUUGUUGUCAGAGCAAAAAGUAAUUUUUUCCUAUUAGUUAAGGAUGAUUGACACAAGAUAAAUGUCCUUUUAUUCUCUACUAAUUUUUGAAAUUUGUUUUCGAUCUAUACCACAAAUUGAAACUAAUUUUUCGGUGGUUGAUUUGAAAACCUAGGUGCUCAUAACAAUACGCCAACUUCAUAUAUCAUUGGCAACACUCAAUUCGUUCACUUCUUGGCGUAAUUAUUCCAUUAUCUACAUAACCUGCGUAGCAAAAAAACAAACGCAUUAAGCUAUGUAGCUAAUUGCACACGGUAUUAGUUGGUAUGAAACAACGGUUGCAUUGUGACAGCCCCACCUCCCCCUAGGGCAUAUCCUAAGGGUUACCGAACUGCCUGCCCAACUCUCGUCAGGACUACUAAACUGAACACACGAAGGCCAAACCAUUCCGAACGAUAGUACUGCGAUCAAACGUUUCAAUGAAAACGAAGAGCGAAAACGAAAAUGAAAACGAAAAGCCGUGGCGUCACAAUCCGGCCAAAUUCUCGGCCGGGUUCAAGAAAGUGAGCAACUUUUUUUUUUUCGAUCCCCUACUAAUCCAGCCAUGUAUCUGGCCAAGAACUAGCCGGAUAUACGGCGGGAUUCACUGAACAGUGUUCUUGCCAAAAAUUUUUCUUUUCCGUUCAAACUCCGUACCCAACCGAUUCCCAAAUAGAUGCAAGUAAACUUUAUAUAAAUCCAGAGAAUGUACAUUCCCAACAAAUAUGUCGAAGAAACAUGAUUAACAACUUAUAUACAAACAUUGGUAAUUUUACAAGUCAAAAUGUGACAUUUGAUUAAAAUACAAUUAGGGUUUUCCAUUAUAGAGAAGCUAUACAAAAGAAUAUUUAUACUAGCUCGACUCUUUCUUCAAAAACAUCACAGUUCCAACAUAUUGUUCUCUGUAAGGAAAACAAAGGCAACGGGGUGAGUUUUCACCGAAUGAGAUACCAACACGCCAAGUAUUCAAGAAUCACAAAAGUACAAUUGUACUCAAUCCAAAUAUAGCCAUCAAAAAAUAGGAAUGACACCACACAUAAACAGGGAGUAAAAGGAUGCAGGCGGCUUUCAGUAGUUCAUUUUCUCUUUUGCAGUACUUGAUCCCAACUCGUUGACUUUCUGUCAAUGCUUAAAGAACAAACAUGACUGUAAACCCCACUUUACCCCAAAUUCUGUCCACCACACAUACCCCUUAUCGGGCCCGAGCCCCAAACAGAAUAGAGGUGAUAAUACUUCAGUAUACCUGAAAUCCAGAGUUUCCAAUACCCAAAGAUUCCCUAGAAACAGUCCCCAUGGCUUGUCAAUUUUUCCUCGACCAAGCCCUUGCUGGCUCGAUUCAAUUGACUACCAAUGAGGUUGAGUUCAGAUUUAACAGAAAAGGUCGUUGGAUACACGUCCAAACGAGAUCAGAUUAGGCACAACCAAGAGAUUUCAGUUAUACAGUAAACAAUCAAAUAAGCAAGAGAGAGCGAGCGUGAUAAAGUACACCCUCGUUUCAACCAAAAUAAACAGAAAUCACAGUCAUUCAAGUCACAGAUUUCAAGUACAAGUAAAGCAAGGAAGCAACAAUCAUGUAAGUGGUACACUCACCAGUUCAAAUAAAAUUAACUUCAAACGUUUUCUCCCGAGGUACACCUUGAAUCACCGGCACGUCCUACGAACAACCAAGAAGAACAAUUGAGACUCGAUUACGAGUCGUAUACCUAUUCAAUAAACUACUAAUGCAAGGCAAAAUAUAGCUUGGGAGUGAAAAUAAGUAAUGAUUGGUGCUAAAGGUAUAAACGACCCCAAAACCUUUCAUUUCUACCCAAAAUCCACCUAAACUCAAAGGAACUAAAUGGCCUCCACAUUUGGACAGCAUUUCCCCUAAAUUCUUUACUUUUUUCACCCUACACUCAACACCAAAACUUAUAUCAAUCCUACCUCAAUAGCAACCACAAAUCAAAAGCUAUUACAUACACUUUAUUAGGGCCACAACACCCUUCACAUACAACCAUUUGAUAGCUCCAUAACCAAUCACAAUAACUCUCAAAUUAGAAACCCUAAACUAAAAUUUAGGUACACAAGCUGAAAUUUUUCGUAGGCAAGCAAAACAAGCAUAAAAAAACUCAACAUUACACAUAACAAAACUAUCAAUCCAUGACCAAUGUUCAUACAUCGAAUAAGAGCAGAAAAUUUCACCAUAAAACUGAAUUUUCCCAUUUCACCACUUUCUUUAUGAAAUUUUCCAUAAAACUACAACAAUUGAAACCCUAAACCACUAGUUGGAAAUUAAUUGAAGUAGAGGGAAGAUUCUUGUCAAAAUUACCUUGUUCCUCCAAGAAAGGUGGAAGUUUAGUACUUUCUCCUCCAAUGUCACUCCACCAACACCUUUAAUCCUUCUUAACACUUUUAUGGAGUGGUUUGCAAAGUGGUUGGCUAAAACUCAAGAUUCAAGCAAGUUUAGUAGUGAAACAAUGAAGCUUUCUCUCUUGUUUUUCCUCUCAAAAGGGCUGGCCAAGAUAGAAGAAAAGUGAAGGAAAUUUGGUCAAAUUUUAGUUUAGUAAAGGUGAAGAAGGUUAGGUCAAAGUCUAUCAUCCAUUGAUUUCAUGACACUUGGCUUUCCUAGGCUUAUUCUUAUCCUUUUGUCUACCAAUGGUUAAUCUAUCUAGCUAAUAUCUAAUUGCCCCUUAACACCUUAUAAAAUAACAUCCUUUCCCACCAAGCUCCAACUAAUCGUCAAAAUUUAAUCGCACUAAUCGCACUAGUAGGUCCCACGUCCAUAAUGCACUUCAAAAUUAACAUGAACUAACUUAUACUAGAAAAAUGAUUUAAAAACUAUUCUCACUUAUAAAAAUAUCUAGGAAAUUAAUCUAGUAAAGGAAAAUAUAGAAAAUAUAUGUAAGGAAAUAAAAUAAUGACUAGAAAAUAAGAAAAUUUUCAGGUCCUCACAUGCAUGCCCUAUAGAAAUUUGGAGUAUCAACCUAACCCUCUGAUACUAUCAUGGUUUUGAUUCUUCGUUCAGUUGGCAUGGCUGAUAUGAUAAAGUUGGUUUUGCUUUAGAGCAAACACUUUCUUUAAAUGUGCUCAUUGACCUGACUUAAGGAUUAAAGGCUAUACACACACACACACACUCACUCAUAUGUAUCUAUAUAAUAUCAAAAAAUAGAGAAAUAGAGUUAAUCAACACUCACGUUCUGUGAGCACUCGUACUUUUAUUCUUAAUUUUACCUAUUUUAAAAUUAUUUGCAUUGGUGUUAUUUAAUUUUAUUAUUUUAGUAUGAAUUUUAUUUAAAUUAUAUUUUUAUCGCUUACACGUUAAAUUUUUCAAAAGUCGCACCAGCACGACUAAUUGAGGAUUUGGAGAAUUUAUCUUAGACUAGUAAGAAUAAGUAUUAGUGGUACAAGAGAAACUAUCUUGGAAGAUUAGUAUUUAAGUGUAGCAAACAAGAAGGAAACUAGUAGUGCAUGACACUAUUUAGGCUACUAUUCCUAAUUGACCUUUUAACCACCAAAAGCUAGUUUUCUUCUCACCUUCACAUCACAAUUCAAAGCUUCAUCUUCUCUUAUUUUUCUCUCUUAUUGGCCAAACCUCCAAGCUCCAAAAGAAGAGGAGAAAAACUCCAACUUCAUCCACAAAUCUUGCUCCAAGAAUUCAUCCAACACCUUCAAACCUCUAGAAGUUGAUCUAGUUAGAAGAAAGCUCUUACCUUGUGGUGAUUUCUUGGUGGUUUGGUGGUGCAAAUCUUGGCUCUAUCUAGGGUUGAAGAAGUUUUGGAGAAGUAACAAGCUUCACUUCCCUUGAUCUUUAGUUUUAUACAAGAGUUAGUAAUGGUUUUGGGUUGUUAUGCAAGGGUAUUUGAAACCCUUACCAAAGCUUAGUUAAAUGAUUUGAGGAAACCCUUGUUUUCUUGAUUUAUACUUAGGUAGAUGCCUUGAGGUGGAUGAUUAAGUAGUGGACUUGAGGAUUUCUUGUUUAUUUGGUUGUUAUUUUUGUGAUUUCUAACUUGAUUUUUGGCUUGAAUGUUGGAGAGAAAAUUUGAAGAGAAAGAGAGGAGGUGCUGUCCGAAAUUUUGCUAAUUUAUUUCUCUUGAUUUAAUUUCAAAUUUUGUUGUUAAAUUGCUGCAAAAAUGCUUGUUAUAUGUUGGAUUGUGUGUGUAAAAAUUAUCUCUUAAAAAUCAUUUCUUUUGAGUGGUUGAAAGUUAGGCUAAACAGAGAAAAAAUCAAAUCUGGAAAAUUGAUCAGGGCAGUCUGCCUGUCCGCACUCAACAGCCUAUAAAUUUUCUUCCAAGAGUCAAAAUCAAGUGCUAUUUGUGGCAUUUGAAACUGGACACCAAGGUCUUUCCAAUGGUAUAAAAUAUCCCUGCUAAUUCAUUUUCUGUGAGCCGUGGCAAACUGGCAAAAUUGACUGAUUUUCUCUUACUGUUUUACCCAAGAAACCUGCACAGCUGCAUCUUGUAGCUUAUUUUCACUCCUCUUGUGAAAUGAAUUUGAAAACGGUUUCUUCUAAUGAUUUUUAGUACUUUGAAUGUAGUUUUUCAACGCCAUAAAUCACACUAAAUUUGGACUUGUGUAGCCCUAGUUAGGCCCUGAUUUCAAAACUGUGUUGAUGCUCCAAGGCUGGAAAUCCGUGGAUCAGGUUUCAAAAAUCAGUUUUUGUAAAACUGUUGUAACUUGGUGUAGGGAAAUCCAAAUUUAGUUCUGCUUGUUGAGUUUGAAACUAGACUUGAAAUUCUUUAAGUGUUAUAAAUUUUAGAGAUUAAUUCGGUUCCUAUGAAUUUUGCUAAAAUUUCAAAUUUCACUAAAAAUUGAGUCUGUUUUGCCCUGUUUUAAUGAAGCAGCAAGUUGGAGCUGAGAUUUGAACGAUUUUUUAUUCGAAUCUGGAAAAAGUUUCUUCUAAAGAGUUUUAUUACAUUAAAUCUAGUUUCCAACGGUGUGAAGUUUCCAAUUUUUGGACUUAAGAAACUCAAGAUGUGAUUUUUCAAGUAUUGUCGCACAAAGCUGAAAUUUUCUAGUUUCAAACAAAAUGCCCUUCUUAAGAAUUUUCAACUUUCCUUUGAGAUUGUUAAUCCAUUUUAAGUUUGAUUUCAUGGAUGGAUACAAGGUUUCUUGUAACUUUAGGCCUUCAUUUUGAAUUUUGGUUUCCAAAGGAUUAAGCCUCUCUUGAUACGUUUUUUGUGGUUGCCUAAACAAAUGAAUUUUCUCCCUUGUAUGCUAAGUGGUUUAGUGUAUAUGUGAGUGAUGGAUUAAGGGGGAAAUUGGUCUAAAAGUGGUUUGCAUUUAGUGAUGGCUGGUUGAUAUUUUCUCAGGUGUUCAAGAGAAUUUCGAAAGGAAUCCCGGUGCAAACAAUUUAAGGACAUACUUGCUCGCUUGCUUUUGAAUUUGAUGAAUGUCAAUUGCAUGACUUGUUGCAUAAUACUUGGAUCGCUUCUUGUUGAUUAUGCGAAUUAAACUUGUCGAGGCGAGUGUAUACUUUAUCUCACUCGUCCUCUCUUGCUUGACUUGAUAAUUGACUCGCUCGUACUUGAUAAUUAUACUUGUGAUUGUGCUUGACUUGGCGUCGAUUUGAGAGCAAUCUCAUCAACUUAUACUUGAACUUGGGGGCCCCAAAACCCAGUUGCUAGCCAUUCAACUCAAGCCGGCAAGAGCUUGGUGAACCUUGGGCUUGUGUACUUGACUUGCUUGGAUAUACUCGAGUAAUAACAAAAACUUGUUUGACAUUCGGGCCCGGUAGGAGGUGUAUCGGUGGACAGAAAUUGGUGAAAAGUGGGGUUCUGCGGACUUGUUACUUGCUCGGUUGACGGAAUGUCAGCACUUGGAAAUGUUGGAUCAAGAUUUUGACAAAGCAGUGUGGAUUUAGCUCCUGAGAGCUUCUGUAUUCUUUAUUGAUUGUGUUUUGUUUUCUUCUGUGAGUUGCAUAAAUAUUGUGGCUGCCCUUCUUUUAUAAGUUUUAAUGUUCGUUGUACUUGCUUGCUUGUCUGUUUUCUUGGCCUUACUGAGCGUCAGCUUACCCCCCUUAAGUUUGUUUUCCUUAACAGGAACUUGAAGUGGAAAGAUUUUGGAGAAACUGGCUUUGAUUGUAUUUUGGUCUAAUUAUAGAUAUACAUGAAUUAACCGACUUUUGGUGGUGGUAUUUUUUUGAAAAAUUUGAGGUAACCUUUGAAAAUAUUAUGAUGUAGAAUUGAAUGACUAUUGAAGGAAGCGGCUUUUCUUUAUAUUAGUUUUCUUAUUGGUUGACUAGUUCUAAGUUUAAAUUGGGCUUGUAUCGAGUCCUAGCGAGAGUUAGGCAGGCAGCCUGCCGAAACCCUAGGAUUCGCUCUAAGUAAAAGUGGGGUCGUCACGCAUUCACUUUAAGAGGUGCUUCAAGGGGUUUAUAGGCUUGCAUCAAUGCAUGUUGUUUUUCCCGUCUUUAUGUUCCAACUUUUCAAAUAUGAAUUUGGUCACCACCUUCAGCUGCAUAGUUGCCACCUUUGCAUCUCUAGUGGCAUUUGAGUCUUUUGCAGGACAUCUGUUAUGAAGUUGUAUGAGUAACUAAAACUCCAUAUUUGGAACUUACUAUAUAGAUAUUUCAUAUGGAAAAAGAAAAAUAAUGCGUAAACUUUUUUUUUCAUUUACCUGGCGUUAGACAUUGAAUACUAAAUAAAACCUUGCAAGCCUAUUAGUAUUGUGAAAAGUAUCUGUGACAACUAGCCAACCAUAGAAGUAUAAUUAAAAAUAAAUAUCGUAAGGAUUGAUAUUUAAAAACUGGAAGAAAGGCUCAAUUGUUUGUUUUUUUACCAGUAAUAGUGAAAUCUUUUGCUUAAAAAUAAAAAAUAAGUUGCAUUAAAUUGUUGCAAUGCUUUUGACACCCAAAGGAAUGAUGAAUAUGAGAUAAUAUGUGCCACUAAAGUCUCAAAUCAGAUUUUCAUCAAAUUUGAUUAUUGAGAUACCAAUCAGAUAGAUAUCACGUUUUGCUCACUUAGAAUUGGACAUAUAUGGAAAUGUGACUUCAAAAUUUUAUUAUUAUUAUUAUUAUUAUUAUUAUUAUUAUUUUUUAAUCCGGCUAACCUCGAACACGAGGGGGGACGCCACUCCCAAAUUUAUUGAAAAAUAGACACAAGAGAUGUUCUGUUUUGAGAUGUUCGCCAGAAGGGCUAAGACAACCGUACAUAAGGCAUUCGCAUCUUAUCUAGGCGGGCUAGCCCCUGUAUGUAGUCCGGGAGGGUGGAGGCCCCAAAGCUGUGAUCGACACCCGUGGAACUUGCUAGAUUUGCCAGGGCGUUAGCCACCCCGUUUGCCUCCCGAUAGACAUGAGAGAAGGUAACCUGGCGGCCCAGCGCUAAGGCUUGGAUGCGUGAGAUAGUCUUCCAUAGCUUCCAAGGUACUCGUCCAUUGUCAUUCACCAUAGCCAUCAGAACCUGAGAGUCCAUUUCAACUUGCAGAGAGUGGUAACCUGUGGAGAGCAACAUACCCUCCAGUAAUGCCGAGGCCUCCGCUUCCAUGUUUGUCCUUGAGCCCAAAAAAUAGGAGAAACCACGGAGGACAUUACCCCCCGAGUCACGAAACACACCUCCCGCACCAGAUGAGCCUGGAUUCCCUAGAGAUGAGCCAUCAACAUUCAAUUUUACAAACCCCUCAGGUGGUGAUUCCCAAAGGACCCAGCGUGGGGCCAUCCGCUUCGGUGACGUCAGUCGGAGAAACAAGCCCGAGCGGACCAGCUCCCCGUCAUCCCGCGUCACUCGAGCGAAAGGCCGGGCCUGGGACAAGUGAUGCAGCAGCGUUUGAAUAUUCCAGCAAACCUGAGUUGGGGUUAAAACAACGCCCUCAAACACCGCCAUGUUCCUAGCUUUCCAAAGGCCCCAACAGAUUAGCGACGGCAAUACCUUGCACAGCUUACCCCGUGCAGAGCCUGGAGGAUGACAUAGCCACCAUUGCUGUAAACGGGAGAUAGUGUCGGCCGUAGGCGACUGAGGAACCCACAUGGCCCUGGCGAAAAAACUCCAAACCUGAGAUGCUAGAACGCAUUCCGAGAAGACGUGAUCUUGAGACUCUCCAUUCAAGCAAAACGAGCACUUUGAGGGGAGUUGGAGGCCAAACCGCUGAAGGGCAUCAGGGAAAGGGAGAUACCGAUUGGGCAGCUUCCACAUAAAGACAGCAAUCUUGCAAGGAGCACUGGCACUCCAUACACACUUCCUAGAUCCAAGGCAAGCUCUUUUGGGCCGCAAAGCGUCCCAAGCUGAAGAAAUGGUGAAAUCGCCAGAAGAUGUGAGGGUCCAAGCUGGUCUAGCUCUGUCGUCUAACUCAAUUAAGCGGGUGGACUGCGUCACCAUAUCAGAAACGGACAGCAUUCGUCGCCAGACUCUGGAUGCUCCACAGACUACCCCAUUGUCCUCACUAUAACGGGAUCGCAUGAAUAGUGCCCACAAGGAGGAAGAAUGGCGGAACUGCCACCACAGUUUGCAGCUGAAAGCCCCUUGUAUGCUUUUAAAAGAACGUAUGCCAAGGCCAUCCUCCUCCACUGGAUAACAUAGGUUUUUCCAGGAACGCCAAUGAUGUUUAGGGCCCAGCUCCGUCUGCCCCCAGAAAAAAUUGGCCAUAAGGCGUUCCAGCUCCUUUAGCACCCCGGAUGGCGGGUCCAUGACGGCUAACACGUGCGUAGGUAUGGCAGAGAGCACAUGCUUAAUAAGUAUGAGUCGCCCCCCCUGGGAGAGGAUCUUUUUCUGCCAGCCCGCAAGUUUAGCAAUGAAUUUAUCGAUUAGGAAUUGGAAGUAUUCUUUUUUCCUACGUCCUGCAUAUAGGUUGCACCCCUUCCUUUGGGUGUCAAAAGCAUUGCAACAAUUUAAUGCAACUUAUUUUUUAUUUUUAAGCAAAAGAUUUCACUAUUACUGGUAAAAAAACAAACAAUUGAGCCUUUCUUCCAGUUUUUAAAUAUCAAUCCUUACGAUAUUUUAUUUUUAAUUAUACUUCUAUGGUUGGCUAGUUGUCACAGAUACUUUUCACAAUACUAAUAGGCUUGCAAGGUUUUAUUUAGUAUUCAAUGUCUAACGCCAGGUAAAUGAAAAAAAAAGUUUACGCAUUAUUUUUCUUUUUCCAUAUGAAAUAUCUAUAUAGUAGCCUGAUCUAAUCGAGGUUUAUGUUUAAGGGCUAGAUUUCUAUUACCAAGAAUGGAAAAGAGCUUUUAAAAUUUUUGAGUAGGAUAUCAAUUCAUGUGUUAACACGCCAAAAUAAAUAAUGAACUAAAAAUUGGUGAAAAGAAAUGAAAAAAUUCAAAUAAAAAGCCUUCAAAAAAAGUAAUAAACCUUAAAAAGAUUGAACUAAUAAAGAACAAACAUGUCUUGAUAAAAGAAAAUCUAUAAAUUUUGUAUACCAUAAAAUUACUUGUUUUUAUGAAUUUUUUGAUGUUUGUAUACCAUAAAAUUAUAAUUGUUUGAUGUUUCUUUCAAUUUUUCUAGCCAUAAUUUGAAGUUUGAUGUGUAGAGUCCAACAUAAUGAUUUGCAUCUUUUCUCCACAAGAAAUGGCCAUGGUUGGCCAGGAUUCCUUUCUUUUCUCGAUCUAUUCUUCAAACUAUAAUGUUAGACCAAUUCAACUUUAAGCACUAUUUUAUUCCUUGAUUAUUGACUCUUAGUUUACAAUGACAUUAAUUAUCAAUUUAUUAAUUUCAUAAGUUCAAAAUUUAUUUUACCAAAAAUUACUCAUAUAUGAUACACAUGCGAAGCACAUGCAUUUUCCUAUUAAAAUUAAGUUUCGAAUGUUAUUAACAUUAGUUAUAGAGAAUGUUUCCACCAAAAGUUAUUGCAGUCUGUAAAUGUAGAUUUGACAUUUGGUUAAGUGAACAACUUCUCUUAAUUUUUGUACUUCAGAAAGCUGAUUUUGCUUUCAAGAAAAAUAUUUAACUUGAGAAACUCUACUCAUUCACCCAGUUCAUUUCAUAUUUGAGAAAUAGGCAUACAUGCCUAUCACUUGAAGAUAUGAAUUGCAAUUUUCUACUAAAAGAAAUUUACUUGAAGUAUUCCUGUUUUGCUAAACUCCUAUUGAGAUACUAUCAUCUUUCCUUAAGGUGAUAACUAGAAGAACAUAAGAGAAUGUGGUCAACAAAUGUUGAAGACUCACUUUUGAGAGUUUCAAAACAAAGAAUGAAUUUUCGCUAUCUUCACAUUUCUUUUCUUAUAGAGGUGAAUUAGAUGCCAAGAACAUAAAACCUAAUAAUUGUUGAAUUGGUUUGUUAUGAAAUGUUGGGAAAGGGGUAUUGGUGCACGCACAUAAUAUUAGAGUUAACUCAGGACAAAUUACUCUUUCUCUAAGUACCAGUUAAAAUAGGAACAGACCAAAUUAUUAAGCAAUGAUAUCAAUAGAAUAACAAAAUGUAGAAAAAUAAAAUACAUAGGACACCAAGAUUUUUAACGUGGAAUACCCAAAUUGAAAAAAAAUCACUGGAUCUAGUUUAGUCAAAAAUCUCCACUAUCACAGUAAUGGAAAUACACAAGUUUACCCGGAACAUCCUAAUGACAACAACAUCACCAUCAUCAACCAAGCGAAAUUGCUACAAAAUUAUUCUUCAAAAACUACAACUGUCAAAGAAGUGGGUUUGGAAGGGUGUUACCAAACGAAGAGAAAAUCCAAAAUCUAAAUCACAAUGAGUAGAACUUGACAAGAGGGAGGCGUGGCUAAAAUUAUGUUUCAACCGAGUUUCAAAUCACUAUCUGAUCAUGGCCUUGAAAUUGUUUCUCUCUCUAGUUUUUCUUCCCAAUUUUCUCUCUCUUUAUUUCUUUUAAGAAUGUAAAGUAAUAGCUGAAGCUUUUCCUUGUUUCUAAAAAUGAAAAGAAACACGUGGCUCUAGUACUAGGGCUUUGUUUUUUGGGCUAUCAAAUGAGGAGGACCAAGCCCAACAAUCUACCCCUCCAACUCAUUUUAGGGGGGGGGGUUCCACCAAACCUACUUUGUGUAUGCAAAGCAAAAGUUUCUUCCUAGAUAAUAUCUUGGUCAAUAUAUCAGCACCAUUAUCAAUAGUGUGAAUUUUCUCAAGUGUCAAUAACUUGAAAUUCAACACAUCCCAAAUCCAAUGAUAUCUCGCAUCAAUGUGCUUUAAUCGUGAGUAAAAUGUGGAAUUCUUACACAAAUAAAUGGUACUCUAAUUGUCAUAGUGAAGACUGUACUUUAAUUGCUUCAUACCUAACUCCUGAAGGAAUUUCUACAAUCAACGAGUCUCCUUGCAUGCUUCAGUGGCUACAAUAUACUCUUAGCUUCGUACUUCAAAAGGCGAUAUACUUCUGUAACUUAUUUUUCCAUGACACUGCUCUCCCUGCAAAAAUCAUCAAGUACCCAGAUAUGGUCUUCCUGUUAUUGAGAUCACCUGCCAUAUUUGUAUUGGUGUAUCUAUCUAUCAUGGUCUUGCUAUUGUCGAAAUAUAAAUAUAAUUUGGAAGCUCCCUUGAGAUACCUGAGAAUCUACUUGACAGCAUUCCAAUGCUCCUUACCAGGAUUGGAAAGAUACCGGCUGACUACUCUAACUACAUGAGUAAUAUCUAACCUGGUAUAAACCAUAGCAUAUGUCAAACUGCCAACAGCUGACUCAUAAGGGAUCUUUCUCAUGUCUUCUUUGUCUUUCUCAUUUGUAAGACACUAUUUAAUACUUAGUUUAAAGCGACCCGUAAGUAGAGUAGAGACUUCGUUAGCUUUACUCAUGUUAAAUCUAUCAAGUACCUUCUCAAUGUACUUUUUUUGAGACAACCAAAGCUUUCUAUUUUGCCUGUCCCCAGAGAUUUUUAUCCCAAAAAUCUAUCUAGUUGGAUUCAAAUAUUUCAUUGCAAAACAUUUACUUAAUUCCUUUUUUAGCCUGUGAAUUUUCAUAGCAUCAUGGCUAACAAUCAACAUGUCAUCAACAUAUAGCAAGAGAAUAAUAAAAUCACCAUCAGAAAAAUUCUUCACAUAGACAUAAUGAUCAGAUGUAGUCCUGUGGUACUGGUGAUCCAUCAUGAAUGAGUCAAAUUUCUUGUACCACUGCCUUGGCGCCUGUUUCAAUCCAUACAAGUUCUUUCUUACACGACAUACAAGGUUUUUUUUGCCACUUUCUUUGAACCUCUCUGGUUGUUCCAUAUAAAUUUUUUCUUCCAAAUCACCAUAUAGGAGGUUGUCUUCACAUCAAGUUGAUCAAUCUCCAAAUUCAAAUUGCCGCAAUACUACGUACAAUUAGAAUUGACGACAUCUUUACCACAGGAGAGAAAAAUUUCUCAAAAUCUAUACCUUUUUUUUGAUUGAACCCCUUUACAACCAAUCUUGCCUUAUACUUUGGCUGAGUUAUGCUCUUGAGUCUUCAACCUAUAAACCCAUUUAUUUUUCACUGCUCUCUUGUCCUUAGGCAGUUUCACUAGAUCAUAGAUGUAAUUCUCAUGUAAUGACAGUAUCUCCUCUUGCAUAACUUGUAACUAGUUUUUUUUUCUCUCAUGCUCUAGAGUCUCGUUGUGGAAUUUCGAUUUCCCUCCAUCUGUCAGGAACACAUACUCAUUAAGAUUAUAUUUACUAGAAGGUCUUCUCUUUCUGAUAGAUCUCCUAGACUCAUCUUGUGGUGGUGAUGGAGUUAGUGGUGUCUCUUACUCAAGUUCAUCAGUAGCAGUAUUAUUAUCAUCAAUAUCCUCUCUCUGUUCUAUCUCAACUCCCCAUGGUUGAAAUCAACUGGUACUGGAACUGGAUUUGGAUCUAAACUAGCAAGAAUGUCAUUUGAGAAUCUUAACUUGUCAUCUUUAUCAAUGUACUAAUGGUUUGAUCUUUAAGGAAGACAAUAUCUCCACUUCUGAUCACGUUCCUUUCAACAAGAUCAUAUAGUCUAUAGUCAAAAUCUUCCUGCCAAUAACCUAAGAAAAUAUACUGCCUUGAUUUCACAUCAAGUUUUGACCUUUCAUCUUUAAAAAUAUGAACAAAUACAUCGCAAUCAAAAACUCUCAAAUGUUUAAAGGACACAUCUUUUUCCGUCCAUACUCUCUCUAGGAUAUCACCAUCCAAAAGAACUAAUGAAGAAAGAUUAAUCAAAUCAACUGCAGUCCUCAUUGUUGCAGCCCAAAAGGAUUUUGGCAGUUUAGGAUUAAAGAGCAUAUAUCUGACCUACUUAGUGAUGAAUUUGUUCAUUUUCUUUACUAUUCUAUUCUCUUGAGGAGAUUUUGGCACUAUUUUUGUGACGACCCCACCUCCCCCUAGGGCGUACCCUAACGUUUAGCGGACCGCUUGCCCAACUCUCGCCAGGACUCACUCACGCGUAACUCGAUAAAGAUACCACGUCUAUAGAGAAGAAAUGAAACAACAAUCUCAAACUACAUAUACACGCCCAAAAUGUUAAAGUAUUUACAACCCAAGUAAAAUUAACCCUAGUACGGUGUUAGCGCGAGUACAAUUGGAAAAUUCAAAAACUAGACUACGCUAGUUUGUACAAGUCUCAUGCCUCGCUCGUACCCCCUGUAAGGAAAACAAAUGGCGUGGAAUGAGUUAAAAGCCUAGUGAGGUUCCAAAUAGCAAGUUGACCAUUAUUUCAAAGUACAAGUAUCAACGUAGAAAAAUAGCGAGCAUAACAAAUUCAUAAUAGUGAACAAUAACACUUCAAGUAGCAAAUCUCAAAAUGAACGAGUGUAAAGUGGUUUGUUUUUCAAAAGAAACAAUAAUCCAAUAAGUAAUAAUCAUUUCAAAGUAUAAGGAUACGGAUGGCUCUCAAGAGCCAAGUUCCCGUUGCUUUACCAGAGCUUAAUCAAGUAUUAGUUGACACUCCGUCAACUUUCAAGUAAAGUAACCAAUCCUGUAGUACUUUGCUUAACUCCAAUUUGUCCACCAUUCAACCUCCUUACCGGGCCCGAACACCAACUAAACACUGAUGGUAAUACUCGAGUAUACCGAUUAGUCGAGGAAAUAACACUCCACUCAACAACACUAGAUACCCAUGGUUCGUUAUCUAAUCGAUCAAACCCUUGUCGGCUCGACUCGACUAGCUAGCCAGUGGGGUUUGGGUUCUCAAGAAAUCGAUGAGAUAAUAUCUUCAAUCGAUUGAAUCCAAAUAAAAGUACAGAGACAGGAAUGAGAGGCACCUCCCACUCACAUUGAGUGUGGUACAUGCUGCCGCUCAGCACUUACAAGUUAAAUAUAAGUAUAUCAAGUCAAUUGCAACAAUAAACAAGUAUAUAUCAUAUUAGGGCAAGUGCGAUAAAGUACACUCUUACCCGAUCAAACAAAUUAUAUAUCAUUAAAUCACAUUUGUCAAGUAUUGAAAAUAAGUGUCUAGUUCAAUCAGGUAUUUGGAAGCACUCACCAAAGAUGUAGUGUCUUUACGGAUCACAUUCAAGUAUUACUCCUUGUUUGGAGUCCAAGUCUGCGAUAAAACAUUGUUUAAGAGUUUUGAAAUUCAACUAAGGUUCGAAACUUAAACGUUUCAUUUAACGAGAAUCACAUAAUUGAAACUUAUUUGGAGAAUAUUUGUAAAUUCAUGCUCGCUCUUAAAACAGUGAAACUUUAAAGUGAUUAACCUUUGAAAUUUCCGUUUGAGUUGAAUUGACGAGAAAAAUAUAUUUCUAUUAGUCAUUACUUUCAUUUUCCAAGGGUACAAGUUUCAGCCAAAUGCUAACUUAUAGACCUCUAUGAAACAAGACUUGAAUACCCUAGACGAUUCAAGUUCGAUUCAUCCUCAAACCCUUACUCAAGUCGUGAGUAUAUCUACCUAACCUUCGAGUGUAAAUUUGGGCAGCACGCCCUUUGUGUUUACCUAUUUUUCAGCCAUUUAUGGCUUCAUUAUUUUUCUUAAUUCAGCCCCAAAACACAUAAAGAUAAUCAAUCUCAUCACAAUACCGUUCAAUAGGCUCAAAAUCAUCCAAGUACAACACAAGUAUAAUAAUCCAAUCGGAAAUCAAGUUUUGAAGGCAAAAGGCUAAAUGGCAGAUUCGAUGUCCCUUAGCGUUUCGGUCACAACCGAUGCUACAGUUAUCGGAUUGGGGUGAAUUUUAUACUGUUUCGAAGUUAAGAUAAAGGACUACAACUUUCAUGAAGACCACUCAAUCCAGUUCACAAUUGAUCUAGGUCAAAAGUACAGAUUACAGAACCAGAAGGUCCUUGUCAGUACGGUUGUUAGUACUGAAUUCAAAUAAUAAUAACUCAAGCUACACAAUGCCGUUUGAGGCAUUUUUAGAUGCGUUGGAAAGAGCAAACAUAGAGUUAAAAGUUUUGUGUUUUGGCCAAAGGUUGAUUUGAUAUGGAUCAAGGUGAAAAAUGAAGCCAAAAGUGUGAGAUCACAAAACUGUCCGCAAAAUGAAGCUUUUGGCAGUCAGGGGUAUUCCGAUCAUUUCUCAUGUUACAGUGCUCCGAUUGAGCUAAAAUUUUACAGACAGCUAUAUAACAUCAUUUCCUACAACUUUCAUGUUUUAACCUAAGCCUAAUUCAGCCUCUAAUAUACACGAAUAAAGCUGAUCAGAACAGGGCAGUUUCACUCCUUAAAUCUGGAAUUUAGUGCAUUCAAGGUCUAACCUUCACAUUUCUAGCUUAAACCACUACUUCAACUUCCUAUACAAGAUUAUAGACAUCAUAUUCUAUCUAAACAAGAAGAAAUACCACUGAACAAUUCAAAAUCCUAACUCACAAAUCCACCAAAAUCAUCAAAACUACUUAGAUAACUAUCAUUAGCCAAGAAUUUAAGUUGCUAUACAAACUUAAACAAGCUUAAGGGAAAACAAAAUGGAAAAGCAGCCAUAAUACCUCAAAACCCCCAAAAUAAGUUGUGAUACAGGAACUUUCUUCCUCCUAAAAGCUCCACCAAGCUCACCUCCAAGCUUUCCCAAAAAUUGAUCGGAGUAGAAUCACGUUUCACGUUAAUUUUCUCAAGAAUCAAGCAAAGUUGUUAUGGUGGAAAUGGAGUUUUCUCUCCUCUCUUUUCCCUCUCCAAACUCACGGCCAAAUGAAGGAAAAAGUAUAGGAAUUUUGGUCCAAAACAAAGUUAAGAAGAUAGGAAAUUUGUUGGUCAAACUUGGUUGGCCAACACUCGUCAAGCCACCAUUGGUCUUCUUCUUUUUUUUUCUUUCUUCCUUUUAUUUUGGUCAAAAAUGGUGGCUGUUUUAUAGGAUAUUUUAGGGGUGAUUAGCUGAAAUAAAAUCAAGGUGAUUUAUGUAAUAAAAUAGUGUUCAAGUGGUGUACUCACUCGAUAACAAACGGUAUACUUCGGUUCACACCGUUUUUCCUUAAUUCGCGUAUAAUAGGGUUUUAACUUAUAAUUCACUAAUUUAUUAUUAUCACUUCUAAUCACACACUUAAUAUCAUCUAAAACUCACUCUUAAUCACCAAAUUGAGUACACACUCCACACCGAUUAAUCACACUACCAAAAGACGUAAAAAUCCUAGUUUACCUUAACGAUGAAAGUAAAGGGAAAACCCUUGGUUCUAUGAUUAAUUGUAACUAUUGAGAAAGUGAAUGAGUAGUAAAGCUAUUGUAAAAUAAUGGAUUCCAAAUAAAAGAAAAUUUUUAAGAAAAUAUGAGGGAUUUUACAAGUCACAAUUACACUACCAAAAUGCACAAAAAAAAAA
RNAcentral lists this long non-coding RNA (41202 nucleotides) under Coffea arabica (coffee). RNAcentral describes it as "long non-coding RNA (CARA_LNC000526)". The record is from RNAcentral. Lineage: Eukaryota; Viridiplantae; Streptophyta; Magnoliopsida; Gentianales; Rubiaceae.